This 577-nucleotide ribosomal RNA is filed under the name uncultured bacterium. RNAcentral's name for it is "bacterial SSU rRNA". It matches the Rfam family "Bacterial small subunit ribosomal RNA", at positions 62 to 671 of the family's 1533-position model. The record is from RNAcentral.
UCGAACGAGAAAGGGGAGCAAUCCCUGAGUACAGUGGCGACCGGGGUGAGUAACACGUGACUACCUGCCCUUGAGUGGGGGAUAACCCCGGGAAACCGGGGCUAAUACCGCAUAACAUCGCAAGAUCAAAGGAGCAAUCCGCUUUUGGAGGGGGUCGCGGCUGAUUAGCUAGUUGGUAGGGUAAUGGCCUACCAAGGCGAAGAUCGGUAUCCGGCCUGAGAGGGCGCACGGACACACUGGAACUGAAACACGGUCCAGACUCCUACGGGAGGCAGCAGUGGGGAAUUUUGCGCAAUGGGGGAAACCCUGACGCAGCAACGCCGCGUGGAGGAUGAAGCCCCUUGGGGCGUAAACUCCUUUCGACCGGGACGAUAAUGACGGUACCGGUGGAAGAAGCACCGGCUAACUCUGUGCCAGCAGCCGCGGUAAUACAGAGGGUGCGAGCGUUGUUCGGAAUUAUUGGGCGUAAAGGGCGCGUAGGCGGUGCGGUAAGUCACCUGUGAAACCUCUGGGCUUAACUCAGAGCCUGCAGGCGAAACUGCCGUGCUGGAGGGUGGGAGAGGUGCGUGGAAUUCCC